Long non-coding RNA from Homo sapiens (human), 1616 nucleotides. Ensembl annotates it as long intergenic non-protein coding RNA 513. NCBI's taxonomy places the organism in Eukaryota, Metazoa, Chordata, Mammalia, Primates, Hominidae. The record is from Ensembl.
CAGAGUUGAUCACACUUAACAAUAUGUGCAGGCAGGACCGAAAAAAGGUGUGGUGCCUUCCAGCCCAUAAAUCAAAGUUUUCUCUUGUCACUGCCGUGUAAGAAGUGCCUUUUGCCUCCUGCCAUGAUUCUGAGGCUUCCCCAGCCAUGUGGAACUAUGACGCCUUGCUGUGUUGCCCAGGGUGGUCUCUAAUUCCUGGCCUUUAGCAAUUCUCCCGCCUUGGCCUCCUAAAGCACUGGGGUUACAGGCAUGAACCACUGUGCCCAGCCUGCAUGAUGUAAUCUCCAAAUUGAGGGCAGGAGAGAGAGUGGUCUCACAACGGAAGGGCACCAGCCACUGAGAAGUCCUAAGGCCGUGUUUGAGUUCUGGCUCAUCUUUUUUGCUAAUUUGCUCUUAUGCAUAUCACCCAACCUCGCUAAGCCAGUUUCAUCAUCAGCGAGAACAGCACACUGACAUGCAGGGCCAGCUCAGGCGCUACCACAAGCUACACAUCCGUCCAUUCGUUUAAUCUUCACAGCAGCCCUGGAGGAAACACAGCACAUUCACAAACAUCUGAAGCCAACUGCAAGGCACCCGUCACUCAGCGAGAAAAGCAGAAAGGUGCCAAUUCAGAUGGCUGAGCUACUUCGCCUGGGUCCCGACCUGUAUCACCACAGGGUCACAGAAAUGGAACCUUCUCCGUCACACCUCCUGAUGGCAGUCAGCUGUGACCCGCUGAAUCCAGGACAUCAUGCAUUCCAGUUUCAUUUGCGAGAACAUUUCCAGGUCCGGCUGAAGCCUAGUGGCUCCAGCAGAGGUCUCAACCCCUUUGGGAUGCUCAGUGGGAGACAGAAUCAAGGGCCAAUGAUCCAUGACCUAGUCCUAGUGCCCAUGUCAGUUUGUCAAAGGCCCUCAGAGCAGAUUGUGUUUUCCCUGGCGGGGGCUUGACUUCUUUGCUUUAAAAAGGAUUCUUAAGUAUUUAUUGCAGUAAAAUUAACCACCUUCAAAUUUCUGCCAGAUCCCCUGGAGGUAUAUAGCUUAUUAACACAAAACAAAUGUGACACUUGAAAGGCAGGAGACUUGGUUUCUAUUCUCUGGCCCACUACUGACUUAUUGGGUGGCUUCAGGCAAAUAAGUGAAAUCAAGAAGACACCAUCUUCAACAAGCACAGAGUGGGCACCUGGCAGGUGAGCAGUGCCCUGUGAGGUCUGGGGCUGGGUUCGGUGGUGAAACUAGGUCAGCACACACAGCCCUUUGCUGGGGGCCCACUGCCUGGGGUAGGAUUUUUGUAGCUGGGUUCAAGGUGGACAUGCUGAAAUGUGACCCUAAAAUGUUUGUACUCUUGAAGCUGAAGGAGUGGGAAGAAACCUGUCAUUUAAAGAAGGACAGUAUGGCCAGGUGUGGUGGCUCACACCUGUAAUCUCAGCACUUUGGGAGGCCAAGGUGGGAGGAUCACUUGAGUCCAGGAGUUUGAGACUAGCCUGGGUAACAUAGGGAGACCACAUCUCUACAAAACAUUUAAAAAUUAGCCAGGCAUGGUGGGAUGUGCCUGUAGUCCCAGCUACUCAGGAAGUUGAGGCAGGAGGAUCACUUGAGCCCAGGAGGUCAAGGCUACAGUGAGCUAUUGUCAUGCUACU